UACGUAGGGGGCGAGCGUUAUCCGGAUUUACUGGGUGUAAAGAGCGCGUAGGCGGUUCCGUAAGUUGGUUGUGAAAGUUCGAGGCUCAACCUCGAAACUGCGUCCAAUACUGCGGGGCUGGAGUGCAAGAGAGGCAAGUGGAAUUUCAGGUGUAGUAGUGAAAUGCGUAGAUAUCUGAAGGAACACCAGUGGCGAAGGCGGCUUGCUAGCUUGUAACUGACGCUGAGGCGCGAAAGCUAGGGGAG
RNAcentral lists this ribosomal RNA (245 nucleotides) under uncultured Reinekea sp. RNAcentral's name for it is "partial 16S ribosomal RNA". It matches the Rfam family "Bacterial small subunit ribosomal RNA", at positions 524 to 768 of the family's 1533-position model. The record is from RNAcentral. Lineage: Bacteria; Pseudomonadati; Pseudomonadota; Gammaproteobacteria; Oceanospirillales; Saccharospirillaceae.